AGAGUUUGAUCCUGGCUCAGGAUGAACGCUGGCGGCGUGCCUAACACAUGCAAGUCGAACGAAGCACCUUUUGAGAUUCUUCGGAUGAUCGAUUGGUGACUGAGUGGCGAACGGGUGAGUAACGCGUGAGGAACCUGCCUCAAAGAGGGGGACAACAGUUGGAAACGACUGCUAAUACCGCAUAAGCCCACAGGUCGGCAUCGACCAGUGGGAAAAGGAGCAAUCCGCUUUGAGAUGGACCCGCGUCUGAUUAGUUAGUUGGCGGGGUAACGGCCCACCAAGGCGACGAUCAGUAGCCGGCCUGAGAGGGUGAUCGGCCACAUUGGGACUGAGACACGGCCCAAACUCCUACGGGAGGCAGCAGUGGGGAAUAUUGCACAAUGGGGGAAACCCUGAUGCAGCGACGCCGCGUGAAGGAAGAAGUAUCUCGGUAUGUAAACUUCUAUCAGCAGGGAAGAUAAUGACGGUACCUGAUUAAGAAGCCCCGGCUAACUACGUGCCAGCAGCCGCGGUAAUACGUAGGGGGCAAGCGUUAUUCGGAUUUACUGGGUGUAAAGGGAGCGUAGGCGGCGGAGCAAGUCAGAAGUGAAAGCCCGGGGCUCAACCCCGGGACGGCUUUUGAAACUGCCCUGCUUGAUUUCAGGAGAGGUAAGCGGAAUUCCUAGUGUAGCGGUGAAAUGCGUAGAUAUUAGGAGGAACACCAGUGGCGAAGGCGGCUUACUGGACUGACAAUGACGCUGAGGCUCGAAAGCGUGGGGAGCAAACAGGAUUAGAUACCCUGGUAGUCCACGCUGUAAACGAUGGAUACUAGGUGUGGGGGGACUGACCCCUUCCGUGCCGCAGUUAACACAAUAAGUAUCCCACCUGGGGAGUACGAUCGCAAGGUUGAAACUCAAAGGAAUUGACGGGGGCCCGCACAAGCGGUGGAGUAUGUGGUUUAAUUCGAAGCAACGCGAAGAACCUUACCAGGGCUUGACAUCCCACGGCUGGAAUUAGAGAUAGUUCUUUCUCUUCGGAGACUGUGGUGACAGGUGGUGCAUGGUUGUCGUCAGCUCGUGUCGUGAGAUGUUGGGUUAAGUCCCGCAACGAGCGCAACCCCUAUUGUUAGUUGCUACGCAAGAGCACUCUAGCGAGACUGCCGUUGACAAAACGGAGGAAGGUGGGGACGACGUCAAAUCAUCAUGCCCCUUAUGUCCUGGGCUACACACGUACUACAAUGGCGGUAAACAGAGGGAAGCAAGACCGCGAGGUGGAGCAAACCCCUAAAAGCCGUCUCAGUUCAGAUUGUGGGCUGCAACCCGCCCACAUGAAGUCGGAAUCGCUAGUAAUCGCGGAUCAGCAUGCCGCGGUGAAUACGAUCCCGGGCCUUGUACACACCGCCCGUCA
Molecule: ribosomal RNA, 1386 nt
Filed under: uncultured bacterium
Lineage: Bacteria
Description: bacterial SSU rRNA
Rfam family: Bacterial small subunit ribosomal RNA
Source: RNAcentral